This 253-nucleotide ribosomal RNA is filed under the name uncultured bacterium. RNAcentral's name for it is "partial 16S ribosomal RNA". It matches the Rfam family "Bacterial small subunit ribosomal RNA", at positions 524 to 776 of the family's 1533-position model. The record is from RNAcentral.
UACGAGAGGCCCAAACGUUAUUCGGAAUUACUGGGCUUAAAGAGUUCGUAGGCGGCAUGGUAAGUAGGGUGUGAAAUCCCUCGGCUCAACCGAGGAAUUGCGCUCUAAACUACCGUGCUAGAGGAAGCUAGAGGUGAGCGGAACUGAUGGUGGAGCGGUGAAAUGCGUUGAUAUCAUCAGGAACACCGGAGGCGAAGGCGGCUCACUGGGGCUUUUCUGACGCUGAGGAACGAAAGCCAGGGUAGCGAACGGG